GCGUUGUUCGGAAUUACUGGGCGUAAAGGGCGCGUAGGCGGUGUACUAAGUUAGGCGUGAAAGCCCUGGGCUCAACCCGGGAAUUGCGCUUGAUACUGGUACGCUAGAAUCCAGGAGAGGUUGGUGGAAUUCCCAGUGUAGAGGUGAAAUUCGUAGAGAUUGGGAAGAACACCGGUGGCGAAGGCGGCCAACUGGACUGGUAUUGACGCUGAGGCGCGAAAGCGUG
RNAcentral lists this ribosomal RNA (226 nucleotides) under uncultured bacterium. RNAcentral's name for it is "partial 16S ribosomal RNA". It matches the Rfam family "Bacterial small subunit ribosomal RNA", at positions 538 to 763 of the family's 1533-position model. The record is from RNAcentral.